UGUUGGAGCCAUGGCAAUGAUGUAAA
Molecule: non-coding RNA, 26 nt
Filed under: Homo sapiens (human)
Lineage: Eukaryota; Metazoa; Chordata; Mammalia; Primates; Hominidae
Source: RNAcentral